CCGGGAUAGCUCAGUCGGUAGAGCAGAGGACUGAAAAUC
This 39-nucleotide transfer RNA is filed under the name Sphaeropteris brunoniana. Its description in RNAcentral is "partial tRNA-Phe". The record is from RNAcentral. Lineage: Eukaryota; Viridiplantae; Streptophyta; Polypodiopsida; Cyatheales; Cyatheaceae.